RNAcentral lists this ribosomal RNA (468 nucleotides) under uncultured bacterium. Its description in RNAcentral is "partial 16S ribosomal RNA". It matches the Rfam family "Bacterial small subunit ribosomal RNA", at positions 28 to 507 of the family's 1533-position model. The record is from RNAcentral.
GACGAACGCUGGCGGCGUGCUUAACACAUGCAAGUCGAACGGAAAGGCCCUGCUUUUGUGGGGUGCUCGAGUGGCGAACGGGUGAGUAACACGUGAGUAACCUGCCCUUGACUUUGGGAAAACUUCAGGAAACUGGGGCUAAUACCGGAUCGGAGCUCCUGCUGCAUGGUGGGGGUUGGAAAGUUUCGGCGGUUGGGGAUGGACUCGCGGCUUAUCAGCGUGUUGGUGGGGUAGUGGCUUACCAAGGCUUUGACGGGGAGCCGGCCUGAGAGGGUGACCGGCCACAUUGGGACUGAGAUACGGCCCAGACUCCGACGGGAGGCAGCAGUGGGGAAUAUUGCACAAUGGGCGAAAGCCUCAUGCAGCAACGCCGCGUGCGGGAUAACGGCCUUCGGGUUAUAAACCGCUUUCGCCUGUGACGAAGCGUGAGUGACGGUAAUGGGUAAAGAAGCACGGGCUAACUACGUG